UGGGGAAUAUUGCGCAAUGGGGGAAACCCUGACGCAGCAACGCCGCGUGAAGGAUGAAGGUUUUCGGAUUGUAAACUUCUUUGAUGGGGGACGAAUAAAUGACGGUACCCCAAAAACAAGCCACGGCUAACUACGUGCCAGCAGCCGCGGUAAUACGUAGGUGGCGAGCGUUGUCCGGAAUUACUGGGUGUAAAGGGCGUGUAGGCGGGAUUGUAAGUCAGAUGUGAAAUUCCAGAGCUUAACUCUGGCGCUGCAUCUGAAACUGCGAUUCUUGAGUGCUGGAGAGGAUAGUGGAAUUCCUAGUGUAGCGGUGAAAUGCGUAGAUAUUAGGAGGAACACCAGUGGCGAAGGCGGCUAUCUGGACAGUAACUGACGCUGAGGCGCGAAAGCGUGGGGAGCAAACA
This is a ribosomal RNA of 404 nucleotides. It matches the Rfam family "Bacterial small subunit ribosomal RNA", at positions 355 to 774 of the family's 1533-position model.